GGUCAAGCUACAAAGGGCUCACGGCGGAUACCUUGGCACACAGAGGCGAUGAAGGACGUGGUUACCUGCGAUAAGUCUCGGGGAGCUGGAAACACGCUUUGAUCCGGGAAUUUCCGAAUGGGGCAACCCCUUGUACGGCCAGCUGAAUACAUAGGCUGGCGCGAGCCAACCCAGCGAACUGAAACAUCUUAGUAGCUGGAGGAAAGGAAAGUAAAAACGACUCCCUC
This 227-nucleotide ribosomal RNA is filed under the name uncultured Synechococcus sp. Its description in RNAcentral is "partial 23S ribosomal RNA". It matches the Rfam family "Bacterial large subunit ribosomal RNA", at positions 1 to 241 of the family's 2925-position model. The record is from RNAcentral. Lineage: Bacteria; Bacillati; Cyanobacteriota; Cyanophyceae; Synechococcales; Synechococcaceae.